UUUUGUAGUGGUUAAUGGCAUAUUUAAUUUACAUUUCUUUCUUUUUAAAGAUCAUUCUGUAUACACCUUUAUACUCGUCACAGAUUUGGAAACAGCAGGCAGCCUCUGGGAUGUCUGUGCUGUAGGUUUGAAACAUUUUGCGUCCCACUAAAUCCUGGAACAGCAGCCUCCUUAGAGUGCCUUAGAAAUGUUGGAGAUCAUUGGGAACUGCAUGUUAAACUGGCUGGCCUUAGCUCUUGAUAGUGUGUGUGUAUUUAAUUCUACAUCUACUAAAUACACACACCCUGUAAUGGAAGUAAUUGUAUUGUGACUGAUACUACAUUAAUGAAUUUUCUUCUUUGUUUUUCUGUUGUUAAACCCCUCUUGAAUAGAAGUUACUGGAAGGUUUUAUCUUCACCUGUCGUAAGUCGGUGCCUGGAAUUCUGCUUCCUUAAAUGCGUUUCUUAAAAAGUUGAUAUGUUAACUAGGCAACAAGAAUAGAAAGGUUUAGCCACAAGUAAAGAACAGUGACAUACAUGAGAAGAGAGAGUGAAUCAGCCUGCAACCACUUGAUCUGAAGAAGCAAAAGGAGCAGAAGAUCGCUCCCGCAUUCCAGACAACUGUACAAAACCUCAAAUUCAGUAUAGGCCAAAACAAAACAAAGGUGAGAUUCAACUUUCAGUUCCCAUGCUUCAAGAAGUUUAGGUCAUAUUUGACUUGCAUGGGAAUGUUUGGCCAAUGUCUUGCUCUUAUGUUAACUGCUGCUCAUUCUGCCAUGGCUGAUGCAGAGAAAAUAAAUAAAUGAAAUCUAUCUGCAUGUUCAUAGAAUGACUUGAAUUGGAAGAGACCUUAAAGCCCACCCAGUUCCAACCCCCUGCCAUGGGCAGAGUUACCACCUACCAGCUCAGGUUGCCUAGGGCCCCAUCCAACCUGGCCUUGAGCGCCUCCAGGGAUGGGGCACCCACAGCUUCUUUGGGGAAUUGAAUAGAACAGAAAUUAAAUGUAUUAAACUGAAGGGAACCAGGAGCCUGAAGGGGCAGAGAAGAAAGAAAUCAA
Long non-coding RNA from Numida meleagris (helmeted guineafowl), 1035 nucleotides. RefSeq lists it as uncharacterized. NCBI's taxonomy places the organism in Eukaryota, Metazoa, Chordata, Aves, Galliformes, Numididae. The record is from RefSeq and is a predicted model, not a curated record. The transcript is spliced from 3 exons.